GUUCUACUUUCAAACUGGGCUUAUUGACACAUACAUUUGGUAAGUCAAACUGGGCUUACAGAUACAUAUGUAUCCACAAAACCUAACCAACCAAUAAAUAAUAAUACAUGAAGAAUAUCAUCAGAACAAAUCCCUAAUUCAAUUGUUUUAGUAGAGUAUGGACAUCAGAGCAGAAAAUAUGUUCUCCAAUUAUACUUGUCAAUCCGAGACAUUAUAAAAAAAGAAUCAAACGUUCCUACAGACAAGUGAUUUCAUAUGGCAAUUGCGAAAUUGAUAAUGUAGAGAGGAGAAGUGAAUUACAGUAGAUCCAAUUUUGAGGACGGAAGAAGGAUCGUAGACCAUAUGAACCGAUGUAGAGGGGCUAGACAAUCUCCCAAUCCUGCAAGCACUUCUCCAAAACCGGUUCCGCUGCCAUUUCCACCUCCUUCCUAGCUGUCUCCACUUCUACAGCUACCAAUGAUUUGUGCACAAGAAUUUGGUGAAGUAUUUUCAUCAGUCCUAUCAGCGUGAAAGACUGGAAUCUUGAAGAGAGGAGUAGAGGAAGCGACAACGAGAAGAACAGUUAAAAGGAAUGGAUAAAGAGGCGACGGGGAGGAUGCCGUCAAGGCGGGGAAACAGUGAUAGAGAGAAAGGUGAGAUGAGAGGAGGGGGCGGCUUCAUAAGAGAAAUUAGGGUUACUCCCCAUUUCAAAAAAGACUUUUGAUGAUAGGGAUGAGCAUAAUUUUCCAUAGUAGGCUAUAAUUUAAUUACGCUAUAAUUUUCCAUGGUAGGCUAGGCAUCUGGUGACGGAAGUCAUAAAUCGCCAUUGCCUGAGCUUUCCCCUGCAAACUCUAUGCCAGAUUGGGCAAAUAUGCCUAAUGUAAGCAUGAAGGAGACGAAAGAUCUAGCAAUCUCAUUGAAGCCAAGAAUCACCAGAACCUAGCCUUCCCCACCCUCGAGAUCUCCGCUAUCCCCUUCUGUCUCUAGUUCGCGCUUGACUGCAAAAAGACAAACCCACGUCCCCCGAUGAACCGAUGAAAGUCUUCCGAGCAAGGUGUUGAAAACGAGGUUGAAUUCGGGCCUUAUCUAAUUUUCAGAGCAUGGGCUUAUCUUUGCUAAAGCCGAAAGACACAAAAGCUUAUAUGUCCCUGAUUAAAGCCCAAAAUGCCUCCUGUCCCCAAGCCAUAUUACUUGUCAGGCUAUCACCAUUUA
This 1191-nucleotide unclassified non-coding RNA is filed under the name Hevea brasiliensis (rubber tree). The record is from RNAcentral. Lineage: Eukaryota; Viridiplantae; Streptophyta; Magnoliopsida; Malpighiales; Euphorbiaceae.